UAACACGUAGGGGGCGAGCGUUGUCCGGAUUUAUUGGGCGUAAAGAGCUCGUAGGCGGUUCGGUAAGUCGGGUGUGAAAACUCUGGGCUCAACUCAGAGACGCCACCCGAUACUGCUGUGACUUGAGUCCGGUAGGGGAGUAUGGAAUUCCCGGUGUAGCGGUGAAAUGCGCAGAUAUCGGGAGGAACACCAGUGGCGAAGGCGGUACUCUGGGCCGGAACUGACGCUGAGGAGCGAAAGCGUGGGUAGCGAACAGG
RNAcentral lists this ribosomal RNA (257 nucleotides) under uncultured prokaryote. RNAcentral's name for it is "partial 16S ribosomal RNA". It matches the Rfam family "Bacterial small subunit ribosomal RNA", at positions 521 to 776 of the family's 1533-position model. The record is from RNAcentral.